CGCACUGAGAGAAGGUGAGAGAGGGUAAGAAAGGGAUGUAGUCAGGUAACGUUCCUGCACUGAGAGAAGGUGAGAGAGGGUAAGAAAGGGAUGUAGUCAGGUAACGUUCCCGCACUGAGAGAAGGUGAGAGAGGGUAAGAAAGGGAUGUAGACAGGUAACAUUCCUGCACUGAGAGAAGGUGAGAGAGGGUAAGAAAGGGAUGUAGUCAGGUAACGUUCCAGCACUGAGAGAAGGAGAGAGAGGGUAAGAAAGGGAUGUAGUCAGGUAACGUUCCUGCACUGAGAGAAGGUGAGAGAGGGUAAGAAAGGGAUGUAGUCAGGUAACGUUCCCGCACUGAGAGAAGGUGAGAGAGGGUAAGAAAGGGAUGUAGACAGGUAACGUUCCCGCACUGAGAGAAGGAGAGAGAGGGUAAGAAAGGGAUGUAGACAGGUAACGUUCCCGCACUGAGAGAAGGAGAGAGAGGGUAAGAAAGGGAUGUAGACAGGUAACGUUCCCGCACUGAGAGAAGGAGAGAGAGGGUAAGAAAGGGAUGUAGACAGGUAACGUUCCCGCACUGAGAGAAGGAGAGAGAGGGUAAGAAAGGGAUGUAGACAGGUAACGUUCCCGCACUGAGAGAAGGUGAGAGAGGGUAAGAAAGGGAUGUAGACAGGUAACGUUCCCGCACUGAGAGAAGGAGAGAGAGGGUAAGAAAGGGAUGUAGACAGGUAACGUUCCCGCACUGAGAGAAGGAGAGAGAGGGUAAGAAAGGGAUGUAGACAGGUAACGUUCCCGCACUGAGAGAAGGAGAGAGAGGGUAAGAAAGGGAUGUAGACAGGUAACGUUCCUGCACUGAGAGAAGGAGAGAGAGGGUAAGAAAGAGAUGUAGACAGGUAACGUUCCUGCACUGAGAGAAGGAGAGAGUGGGUAAGAAAGGGAUGUAGACAGGUAACGUUCCCGCACUGAGAGAAGGAGAGAGAGGGUAGGAAAGGGAUGUAGACAGGUAACGUUCCCGCACUGAGAGAAGGAGAGAGAGGGUAAGAAAGGGAUGUAGACAGGUAACGUUCCCGCACUGAGAGAAGGAGAGAGUGGGUAAGAAAGGGAUGUAGACAGGUAACGUUCCCGCACUGAGAGAAGGAGAGAGAGGGUAAGAAAGGGAUGUAGACAGGUAACGUUCCCGCACUGAGAGAAGGAGAGAGAGGGUAAGAAAGGGAUGUAGACAGGUAACGUUCCCGCACUGAGAGAAGGAGAGAGAGGGUAAGAAAGGGAUGUAGACAGGUAACGUUCCCGCACUGAGAGAAGGAGAGAGAGGGUAAGAAAGGGAUGUAGACAGGUAACGUUCCCGCACUGAGAGAAGGAGAGAGAGGGUAGGAAAGGGAUGUAGACAGGUAACGUUCCUGCACUGAGAGAAGGAGAGAGAGGGUAAGAAAGGGAUGUAGACAGGUAAC
Molecule: long non-coding RNA, 1425 nt
Organism: Oncorhynchus keta (chum salmon)
Lineage: Eukaryota; Metazoa; Chordata; Actinopteri; Salmoniformes; Salmonidae
Exons: 4
Source: RefSeq, a predicted model, not a curated record